RNAcentral lists this ribosomal RNA (918 nucleotides) under uncultured bacterium. RNAcentral describes it as "bacterial SSU rRNA". It matches the Rfam family "Bacterial small subunit ribosomal RNA", at positions 8 to 904 of the family's 1533-position model. The record is from RNAcentral.
AGAGUUUGAUCCUGGCUCAGGACGAACGCUGGCGGCGUGCCUAAUACAUGCAAGUCGAGCGAUGAUUAGAGAUAGCUUGCUAUCCUUAUGAAGAGCGGCGAACGGGUGAGUAACGCGUGGGAAAUCUGCCGAGUAGCGGGGGACAACGUUUGGAAACGAACGCUAAUACCGCAUAACAAUGAGGAUCGCAUGAUUCUUAUUUAAAAGAAGCAAUUGCUUCACUACUUGAUGAUCCCGCGUUGUAUUAGCUAGUUGGUAGUGUAAAGGACUACCAAGGCGAUGAUACAUAGCCGACCUGAGAGGGUGAUCGGCCACACUGGGACUGAGACACGGCCCAGACUCCUACGGGAGGCAGCAGUAGGGAAUCUUCGGCAAUGGGGGCAACCCUGACCGAGCAACGCCGCGUGAGUGAAGAAGGUUUUCGGAUCGUAAAACUCUGUUGUUAGAGAAGAACGUUAAGUAGAGUGGAAAGUUACUUAAGUGACGGUAUCUAACCAGAAAGGGGCGGCUAACUACGUGCCAGCAGCCGCGGUAAUACGUAGGUCCCAAGCGUUGUCCGGAUUUAUUGCGCGUAAAGCGAGCGCAGGUGGUUUCUUAAGUCUGAUGUAAAAGGCAGUGGCUCAACCAUUGUGUGCAUUGGAAACUGGGAGACUUGAGUGCAGGAGAGGAGAGUGGAAUUCCAUGGUGUAGCGGUGAAAUGCGUAGAUAUUAUGGGAGGAACACCGGGAGGCGAAAGCGGCUCUCUGGGCCUGUAACUGACACUGAGCUCGAAGCGUGGGGGAGCAAACAGGAUUAGAUACCCUGGUAGUCCACGCGUAAACGAUGAGUGCUAGCCUUGUAGGGAAGCUAUAGGUUCUCUGUAGCGCAGCUUACGCAAUAGUCAUCGACUGGGGAGUACGACGCAAGGAUGAACUUCAA